The sequence is a ribosomal RNA, 510 nucleotides long. The stretch from base 384 to 510 matches the Rfam family "Bacterial large subunit ribosomal RNA", at positions 2473 to 2600 of the family's 2925-position model.
UUUUUUUUGAUUAUAAUUUAAAGUAGGGCCUGCCCACUGAAUUUUGAAGGGCCGCAGUAUUUUGACUGUGCAAAGGUAGCAUAAUCAUUAGUUUUUUAAUUGAAAGCUUGUAUGAAUGGUUUGAUGAGAAAAUUUCUGUCUCAAUUUUAAUUUUUUAAAAUUUUAUUUUUAAGUAAAAAAGCUUAGAUUAAUUUAAAAGACGAGAAGACCCUAUAGAGUUUUAUUAAAAAUAUUUUUAUAAAUUUUAGAAUUCAUUUUUUUUUUAAUAUUAUUUUUAAUUGGGUUGGGGUGACUAAAAAAUUAAUUAAACUUUUUUUUUAUUUUUACAUUGAUUUAUGAUUAAUUGAUCCAUAUAAAUGAUUAAAAGAUUAAAUUACCUUAGGGAUAACAGCGUAAUUUUUUUUUAGAGUUCUUAUUGAAAGAAAAGAUUGCGACCUCGAUGUUGGAUUAAAAUUUAUUUUUGGUGUAGGAGCUAAAAAAUUAGGUCUGUUCAACCUUUAAAAUUUUACA